RNAcentral lists this ribosomal RNA (3000 nucleotides) under Coxiellaceae bacterium. Its description in RNAcentral is "23S ribosomal RNA". It matches the Rfam family "Bacterial large subunit ribosomal RNA". Lineage: Bacteria; Pseudomonadati; Pseudomonadota; Gammaproteobacteria; Legionellales; Coxiellaceae. The record is from RNAcentral.
GUUAUAUGGUCAAGUGAAUAAGCGCAUAUGGUGAAUGCCUUGGCAGUAGGAGGCGAUGAAGGACGUGGUAGCCUGCGAUAAGCCUCGGGGAGUUGNNGCAAACAAACGUCGAUCCGAGGAUUUCCGAAUGGGAAAACCCAACGCACUAAACAUGCGUUACAACUUGCUGAAUUCAUAGGCAAGUGUGAGCUAANCCUAGGGAACUGAAACAUCUAAGUACCUAGAGGAAAAGAAAUCAAUUGAGAUUCCGCUAGUAGUGGCGAGCGAACGCGGAACAGUCCAGCUACCAAAUCUANUAUUUGUUUUAGUGGAAUGAUCUGGAAAGGUCAAUCGUAGAGGGUGAUAGUCCCGUACACGAAAGAACAAGUAUAGUGGGUAGCNNAAUGAGUAGGUCGGGACACGUGUAAUCCUGAUUGAAGAUGGGNGGACCAUCCUCCAAGACUAAAUACUCCCUACUGACCGAUAGUGAACCAGUACCGUGAGGGAAAGGCGAAAAGAACCCCGUANNGAGGGGAGUGAAAUAGAACCUGAAACCAUAUGCGUACAAGCAGUAGGAGCCCCGCUCCUAAAUAAUUCUUUAACGAUACUCAUAAGAGUUAUUUAUGAGCGGGGUGACUGCGUACCUUUUGUAUAAUGGGUCAGCGAGUUAUUUGUGGUGGCAAGCUUAACCGUAUAGGGUAGGCAUAGGAAACCGAGUCCGAAAUGGGCGUGGGACGAAAGUCCUGNNGAGUCGCUGCGAAUAGACCCGAAGCCGGGCGAGCUAUCCAUGACCAGGGUGAAGGUUAGGUAACACUGACUGGAGGCCCGAACCCACUACUGUUGAAAUAGUAGGGGAUGAGUUGUGGAUAGGAGUGAAAGGCUAAACAAGCUCGGAGAUAGCUGGUUCUCCUCGAAAGCUAUUUAGGUAGCGCCUCGUGUUAAUAACCCUUGGGGUAGAGCACUGUUUCGACUAGGGAGCCGUCUAGGCUUACCAAACCGAUGCAAACUCCGAAUACCAAGGAGUUCUAUCACGGGAGACACACGGCGGGUGAUAACGUCCGUCGUGAAAAGGGAAACAACCCAGACCGUCAGCUAAGGUCCCAAAAUCAUAGUUAAGUGGUAAACGAUGUGGGAAGGCACAAACAGCCAGGAGGUUGGCUUAGAAGCAGCCAUCCUUUAAAGAAAGCGUAAUAGCUCACUGGUCGAGUCGGCCUGCGCGGAAGAUUUAACGGGGCUAANNAACUAUGUACCGAAGCUGCGGGUGUACAUGCUUAUGCGUGUACGCGGUAGAGGAGCGUUCUGUAAGCCUGUGAAGGUCAAUCGUAAGGUUGGCUGGAGGUAUCAGAAGUGCGAAUGCUGACAUGAGUAACGAUAAUGCGGGUGAAAANCCCGCACGCCGAAAGUCCAAGGUUUCCUGCGCAACGGUAAUCGGCGCAGGGUGAGUCGGCCCCUAAGGUGAGGCAGAAAUGCGUAGCUGAUGGGAAACAGGUUAAUAUUCCUGUACUUGGUAACAUUGCGAUGGGAUGACGGAGAAGGCUAAGUUAACCACCCGUUGGUUGUGGUGGUUUAAGCGUGUAGGAUGAGUUCUUAGGAAAAUCCGGGAACUCUUAUUCUGAGACGUGAUGACGAUCUAGUAUUUCGGUACUAGAGAAGUAACCGAUGCCAUGCUUCCAGGAAAACUCUCUAAGCUUCAGAUGUUAUUGAACCGUACCCCAAACCGACACAGGUGGACUAGUUGAGAAUACUAAGGCGUUUGAGAUAACUCGGAUGAAGGAACUAGGCAAAAUGGCACCGUAACUUCGGGAGAAGGUGCGCCUCUUUUGGUGAAGAGAUUUACUCUCCUAGCCGUUAGAGGUUGAAACAAAUUGGUGGCUACGACUGUUUAUUAAAAACACAGCACUCUGCAAACUCGUAAGAGGAAGUAUAGGGUGUGACGCCUGCCCGGUGCCGGAAGGUUAAGUGAUGGGGUCAGCCGUAAGGCAAAGCUCUUGAUCGAAGCCCCGGUAAACGGCGGCCGUAACUAUAACGGUCCUAAGGUAGCGAAAUUCCUUGUCGGGUAAGUUCCGACCUGCACGAAUGGCGUAACGAUAGCCACACUGUCUCCAUCCGAGGCUCAGUGAAGUUGAAAUCGCUGUGAAGAUGCGGCGUACCCGCGGCAAGACGGAAAGACCCCGUGCACCUUUACUACAACUUUACAUUGAACUUUGAACUCUCCUGUGUAGGAUAGGUGGGAGGCUUUGAAGUCGGGACGCUAGUCUCGAUGGAGCCAACCUUGAAAUACCACCCUGGAGUGUUUGAGGUUCUAACCUUAACCCGUGAUCCGGGUUAGAGACAGUGUAUGGUGGGUAGUUUGACUGGGGCGGUCUCCUCCCAAAGAGUAACGGAGGAGCACGAAGGUACUCUCAGCGCGGUCGGAAAUCGCGCAAUGCGUGUAAAGGCANAAGAGUGCUUAACUGCGAGACUGACAAGUCGAGCAGGUACGAAAGUAGGUCUUAGUGAUCCGGUGGUUCUGUAUGGAAGGGCCAUCGCUCAACGGAUAAAAGGUACGCCGGGGAUAACAGGCUGAUACCGCCCAAGAGUUCAUAUCGACGGCGGUGUUUGGCACCUCGAUGUCGGCUCAUCACAUCCUGGGGCUGUAGCCGGUCCCAAGGGUAUGGCUGUUCGCCAUUUAAAGUGGUACGCGAGCUGGGUUUAGAACGUCGUGAGACAGUUCGGUCCCUAUCUGCCGUGGGCGUUAGAGAUUUGAGAGGAGUUGCUCCUAGUACGAGAGGACCGGAGUGAACGUACCUCUGGUGUUCCGGUUGUCAUGCCAAUGGCAUUGCCGGGUAGCUAUGUACGGACGGGAUAACCGCUGAAAGCAUCUAAGUGGGAAGCCCCCUCAAGAUUAGAUCUCUCUGGACCUGUAAGGUCCCUAAAGGUCUGUUGAAGACUACAACUUUGAUAGGCAGGGUGUGGAAGCACAGUAAUGUGUGAAGCUAACCUGUACUAAUUGACCGUGAGUCUUGGCCAUAUAACUUCAAA